CAUGUGCCCCCACCUAACCCCACUACCCAUCAUUCUCAUCCACUCAAUUUCACCCACAUCUCUUCUCUCUUUUGGCCGGCUCUCUCCUUUCUUUCUUUCAUUUUCUCUCUUUUCAUUUUACUGAAACACACACCCGCCCGCCAGCCUCCACUCCAAAACACACUAUCUCACCAUCAUUUUUCCGGCAAGAUCACCAGAAAAAUACUUAGGAACUCCAAAGCAUCUUCAUCAUUUUAUUUGAGGUUCUAACUAAUCUCUCCUUGGAGCUUGGAGAAUUAGGAUUUUGCGGUUGCGAGGUCAGUGCCCUUUCACUUUGGAUGACGCGUUCUUCCCUACUGUUCAUGGGGGGAACAGGUUCCUUGAUUGUGUGUGGGUGAGGCUGCUGUCCAUGGGGCCAAGAGACCACAUGCAAAAGAGGUUCUAUUUGACGUGCUCUCUUUGCUGCCUAUGGGGGGAGAGAAAAACCUUGAGGAUAUGGGUGAGGCUGCUGUCCAUGGGGCCAAGAGUCUGCAUAUCAGAGAGGAUAAUAUCAUGUCAGUUGUGAAUGGAUGGAUCCCCUAACCGGUCUAUGUGGUAGUGUGGUAGAUUUGUGAUAAUUUAUCUUAUGUUAGAUAUUAUGGUUUUAGAAAUUAUAUUGUUAAUACUCACAGAUUAUAGUAUAUAGUUUCAAGGUAUUUACUUUGAAAAACUUUGUGCUUCAUUAUGUAAUCAUUCUUGUCAUAUUAUUAUUAUUGAAGAUGAAACUUACAUUUCCCCCACCCCCAUUAUUGUGCUACUUACUAGGCUCUGUUUCAUUCCAUUAUUUUUAUAAACUUUUCAGAGUAGGCAACAAUCUUUUAAGACAGCUUUUUGGUGGCUAAUAGUAGUUAGACUAACUACUGAUGGAGGCUAAAUUUUUGUAAUGGAUAUAUUAGAUGGUGUACAUCUUAGACUAGGCUUGACUCAUUCUUUUGUAUAUUAUAGUGGUUAUGACUGUAUUUCCACUGAUGGGACAAGCUGUUGUUAUGUAAUUGUUUUAUUCAGACCUCUAUUCUUUUGUGGCCAAUGGUCCUUGUAAUUAAUGCUUAGAACUCUGACUUA
This is a long non-coding RNA of Quercus lobata, 1080 nucleotides long. RefSeq lists it as uncharacterized. The transcript has 3 exons. NCBI's taxonomy places the organism in Eukaryota, Viridiplantae, Streptophyta, Magnoliopsida, Fagales, Fagaceae. The record is from RefSeq and is a predicted model, not a curated record.